Long non-coding RNA from Prunus persica (peach), 1525 nucleotides. RefSeq lists it as uncharacterized. The transcript is spliced from 2 exons. NCBI's taxonomy places the organism in Eukaryota, Viridiplantae, Streptophyta, Magnoliopsida, Rosales, Rosaceae. The record is from RefSeq and is a predicted model, not a curated record.
CACGUUUACGGGCCUAUCAUUAUAUAGAGCAUUUGCUCCAAUAAAAAAGAAAGAGUUGUUUGAAGAGUUGUCAAAAUUAAAAUUACAUACACCGAAGUAAGAAAAACGGACAAACUAGUGAGACCAAAACGUUUUUGCCAAAUAAUAAUUCAGGAGCUCGGUGUUCAUCUUUGCCAUGGUUCCGUAAGACACCAUUGUCAUCCUUUUAGGGAAUUUUUUUUUCGUUUGUUUGUUCUUGUUUUUGUUUUUGUUUUUAUUAUUAUUUGUGUUCCACCCAAGUAGUGAAAAUGGGAUUUGGGCUUGGGCUUACACAGGUGUAGCCCGGACCAAAGUACUAUACCUCCAGAACCUCCUAAAGAUUUUCUGAUAAAAGAAAUAGAAAUAUUGGACCACAAACGAAACUGAAACGUUUUAUUUCUUGAGUGCCAAAAAGAACAAAGAACCAUCUUCCCUCUCAACACACCCAAAUCACCAUCCCUCUGAAUCUCUGUGCAUUUUUUAUCUCGUUCGUGAUUUCUGGUUCCCUUUCUAUUUUAUCAAAGGACAUCAAUGUCUGAAUGCUAGCUUUACUCAAGGAGCCAAACGCAAACGAAGCAGAGGCUGCUCCGGCGUCGGCGAAGGUGAUGAUUCGGAAUUCUACGGACGAGGACGUCAACCUGUUAAUAAUCUGCCCUGUUAUACUUUAAUUGAAAUUUGAAAGUCUACAAUGGCGUAGUCUUUGUUCGAUCUUCUUCAACUUCAUGAAGCCAAGGCCGAUCAGGGUUCUGCAUCUUUUUUGUGGGGAGAAACAAGGGUGCAUGAAGUUGUGGGUGGGAAUGAAGCUGAAGCUGAGGGUGAAGAUGGAGCUCAAGCUGAGGAUGAAGAGGAAGGGGAAGGUAAUGAUGAGGCUGAUGGGUUGGAGGGAGGUGAGGGAACAGAGGGACAAAUGCCCUUGCACAUCUAUAGGAUCACGACCGAUGAUGAAUCCCAUUGUCUAGGAGUGGUGCUGAUUGAAGAGUGCGAAGAUGCACACGAAUUACAUGAGAAAGUUCUAGAUGUUAUAUUUGAAAAUGGGGAUUUGGAAGAAUACGACACGUCUUCCAUUGAGGAGUACACACUGCUCUAUCUUCAACUAAAUGGAGACGGUUUCUUGAGGGUCAAACCUGAAAUUCCUUAGGGCAUCUUCCGACACUUAGUGGAUCAAGUAUCUUCUUUUGAUGGGACUUUGUUAGACAUUUAUCGAAGAACUGAAGAUGAGAAAACUGAAUUGGUUGGUUGGAAAGGGGUUCGGAUUGAAGAUUGCAACGGUAACAUAGAAGCUUUGGAUGAAAUUGUCAGGAAUUAUUUCUUAGUUCAUAGUGAUAUUGAUGCAUGUACCUUGAUUUACUACACCAAGCUUAGGAAUGGUUUUGAUGAGGAGCUAAGUUUGGAGAUCGAAUGGGAUGUAUUCAACCAUUUGGUGCGAGGAGUUGUUGCAUUCUCUGAAGAUCCUUGGUCUGAGUGGUUGGAUGGUGAUGAGAGAUACAUUGAUUGGAAGCCUAAAAAA